Molecule: ribosomal RNA, 879 nt
Filed under: Escherichia coli
Lineage: Bacteria; Pseudomonadati; Pseudomonadota; Gammaproteobacteria; Enterobacterales; Enterobacteriaceae
Description: partial 23S ribosomal RNA
Rfam family: Bacterial large subunit ribosomal RNA
Source: RNAcentral
CCGGUAAACGGCGGCCGUAACUAUAACGGUCCUAAGGUAGCGAAAUUCCUUGUCGGGUAAGUUCCGACCUGCACGAAUGGCGUAAUGAUGGCCAGGCUGUCUCCACCCGAGACUCAGUGAAAUUGAACUCGCUGUGAAGAUGCAGUGUACCCGCGGCAAGACGGAAAGACCCCGUGAACCUUUACUAUAGCUUGACACUGAACAUUGAGCCUUGAUGUGUAGGAUAGGUGGGAGGCUUUGAAGUGUGGACGCCAGUCUGCAUGGAGCCGACCUUGAAAUACCACCCUUUAAUGUUUGAUGUUCUAACGUAGGCCCCUUAUCGGGGUUGCGGACAGUGUCUGGUGGGUAGUUUGACUGGGGCGGUCUCCUCCUAAAGAGUAACGGAGGAGCACGAAGGUUGGCUAAUCCUGGUCGGACAUCAGGAGGUUAGUGCAAUGGCAUAAGCCAGCUUGACUGCGAGCGUGACGGCGCGAGCAGGUGCGAAAGCAGGUCAUAGUGAUCCGGUGGUUCUGAAUGGAAGGGCCAUCGCUCAACGGAUAAAAGGUACUCCGGGGAUAACAGGCUGAUACCGCCCAAGAGUUCAUAUCGACGGCGGUGUUUGGCACCUCGAUGUCGGCUCAUCACAUCCUGGGGCUGAAGUAGGUCCCAAGGGUAUGGCUGUUCGCCAUUUAAAGUGGUACGCGAGCUGGGUUUAGAACGUCGUGAGACAGUUCGGUCCCUAUCUGCCGUGGGCGCUGGAGAACUGAGGGGGGCUGCUCCUAGUACGAGAGGACCGGAGUGGACGCAUCACUGGUGUUCGGGUUGUCAUGCCAAUGGCACUGCCCGGUAGCUAAAUGCGGAAGAGAUAAGUGCUGAAAGCAUCUAAGCACGAAACUUGCC